GGAUAUCUCCGUACCAUCGCCUCCAACUGAUCCCAACGCACCACCUUCAGGAGGGGUCGGUUACUAUCCGUCCCCUCCAACUUCUAAUGGAACCCCACCAAGCCCGGAUACACCGAGCAUUCCCAAUAUAUCCACACCUCCAGCUCCAUUUGAUCCCAAUGCACCACCUUCUGGAGGGGGAGGAUACUAUCCCUCCCCUCCAACUUAUGGUGGUACCCCUACCACACCAACUACUCCUAUAAUUGGCCCUGGAACUCCGAGCAUUCCCGAUAUAUUCACGCCUUUAGCUCCAUUUGACCCCAAUGCACCACCUUCGGGCGGGUACUAUCCCUCCCCUCCAAGUUUUGCUACCCCUAGUACCCCUAGUAUACCCAUAAUUCUCCCACCAAUUACUCCUAUCAUCAACCCGGGCACUCCUGGUAUCUACAUACCUCCACCUCUAUUCGAUCCCAACUCACC
RNAcentral lists this long non-coding RNA (459 nucleotides) under Capsicum annuum. RNAcentral describes it as "long non-coding RNA (CANN_LNC015101)". The record is from RNAcentral. Lineage: Eukaryota; Viridiplantae; Streptophyta; Magnoliopsida; Solanales; Solanaceae.